AACGAACGCUGGCGGCAGGCUUAACACAUGCAAGUCGAGCGCCCCGCAAGGGGAGCGGCAGACGGGUGAGUAACGCGUGGGAAUCUACCCUUUCCUACGGAAUAGCUCCGGGAAACUGGAAUUAAUACCGUAUACGCCCUUAGGGGGAAAGAUUUAUCGGGGAAGGAUGAGCCCGCGUUGGAUUAGCUAGUUGGUGGGGUAAAGGCCUACCAAGGCGACGAUCCAUAGCUGGUCUGAGAGGAUGGUCAGCCACAUUGGGACUGAGACACGGCCCAAACUCCUACGGGAGGCAGCAGUGGGGAAUAUUGGACAAUGGGCGCAAGCCUGAUCCAGCCAUGCCGCGUGAGUGAUGAAGGCCUUAGGGUUGUAAAGCUCUUUCACCGGAGAAGAUAAUGACGGUAUCCGGAGAAGAAGCCCCGGCUAACUUCGUGCCAGCAGCCGCCGUAA
This 447-nucleotide ribosomal RNA is filed under the name uncultured bacterium. RNAcentral describes it as "partial 16S ribosomal RNA". It matches the Rfam family "Bacterial small subunit ribosomal RNA", at positions 29 to 523 of the family's 1533-position model. The record is from RNAcentral.